RNAcentral lists this transfer RNA (72 nucleotides) under Eucampia zodiacus. Its description in RNAcentral is "tRNA-Cys". It matches the Rfam family "tRNA". Rfam says of the family: Transfer RNA (tRNA) molecules are approximately 80 nucleotides in length. Their secondary structure includes four short double-helical elements and three loops (D, anti-codon, and T loops). The record is from RNAcentral. Lineage: Eukaryota; Bacillariophyta; Thalassiosirophyceae; Eucampiales; Eucampiaceae.
GGUUAAAUAACAUAGUUGGUAAUGUGUUAGAUUGCAAAUCUUGAAAGAUCGGUUCAAAUCCGGUUUUAACCU